CCUACGGGUGGCAGCAGUGGGGAAUAUUGGGCAAUGGGCGCAAGCCUGACCCAGCAACGCCGCGUGAAGGAAGAAGGCUUUCGGGUUGUAAACUUCUUUUGUCAGGGACGAAGCAAGUGCCGGUACCUGACGAAUAAGCCACGGCUAACUACGUGCCAGCAGCCGCGGUAAUACGUCGGUGGCAAGCGUUAUCCGGAUUUAUUGGGUGUAAAGGGCGUGUAGACGGGAAUGCAAGCCAGGAGUGAAAGCCCGGGGCCCAACCCCGGGACUGUUUUUGGAACUGCAUUGCUGGAGUACAGGAGAGGCAGGCGGAAUUCCUAGUGUAGCGGUGAAAUGCGUAGAUAUUAGGAGGAACACCGGUGGCGAAGGCGGCCUGCUGGACUGUGACUGACGUUGAGGCCCGAAGGCGUGGGGAGCAAACAGGAUUAGAUACCCGGGUAGUC
Molecule: ribosomal RNA, 443 nt
Filed under: uncultured bacterium
Lineage: Bacteria
Description: partial 16S ribosomal RNA
Rfam family: Bacterial small subunit ribosomal RNA
Source: RNAcentral